Molecule: long non-coding RNA, 1343 nt
Filed under: Hordeum vulgare
Lineage: Eukaryota; Viridiplantae; Streptophyta; Magnoliopsida; Poales; Poaceae
Description: long non-coding RNA (HVUL_LNC007324)
Source: RNAcentral
ACCCACCCAUCUUCCUCCUUGCUGCACGGCCACCACACCACGAGCAAUGGCCAACCACGUCGAAUCCGGUCACUGACUUGGAAUUUGGGCGGCUGUCGAACCCCCUCCAUCUUUCCUUUGUUGAUUUCUCCUUCACCGACAAGCCUCGCCCCCGUGGCCGGAACUGCCCAUUUCCGAGGUGUGGAUGGUAGCCGGGGAGCACAGUCGGUAGCGACCAACGCACAUCCUUCCCCCUUAGUCCCCCUCCCUCUACUACCUUCCCUAGUGGAGAGCUCACUCUUUGGCACUUCCUCCAGUUCUGCUCGCAACGGCCAACACUCACUAGAAGAUAAUCUCACUUCGGGGAUUCUUCACCCGCCGGUGUGUAGUUCUCGUGGUGCUGGCAUCCACUGUGUGCGGGGCUGGCAUGUAGUUCUAGCGAAUCUGGCAUGCAAUGCAGUGCACCGCGGACCCCUAGUUAGGCAUUGUGUUGUUCGGCAAGCGUUGGCGUGCAGCUCAUCCCCCGCGCGGCAUGGAGUUCCAUUCUGCCUCCAGGGAAGUGCGCCUCCACCCAUGCGUCUCAUCAUCGUAAUUUUUUUGAAGUUCACUUUUGAUAUUUUUGCUAUAGAUUAAAAAGCAUUAGUAAAGAAAAGGGUGAAUUGAUAUCGGGAAUGCAAUUCUAUUGGUUGAUGCAGUUCACUCGGGUGUUCAUCGGAAUGCGUGACGAUGCACUCCCGCUGCUGUUGACUUGCGGUUCAUAGGCGGGUGGUGCAGAUAGUUUCCUUGUGCAGUUCUUACGCUUAUUUCUAUUUGUUUCAAAGUGAAAAAUGUAGCCCUAUUCUUUUGCUCUUGAUGUUCAUUUUACUUCUUUUGUAGGAAAAUAUGAAGUCAUGAAGUUCGACUGGAUGCCCUAUUACUCAAUUUUCUUGUUGUUAGAAACUAGACUUCAUUAGUUCAUUGUAAAAAAUGCAAUUCAUUACCACGAUGGUGUAGUUAUAUUUUAGUUAGUAUAGAUAUUUUAUGUGUGUGUGGUUGUGGAAAACAAUCAAAUAGAUAUGUAUGCUUUGAAGCUCACUUUGUUCUCUCACGUACUACGUGAAGCUACUGCUCCACACGCUGUACUCUUGUGUAUCUUGAUGCGGUGCGGUGCAUCGCCGCGUUCAGUUCGGGACCAUUUUUUGAAAUUUUUCUUAGGCACAACACCGUAGUACGCCCGAGACAUGCAGUGCAGCUGGGCAUUCAGUUGCAACAAUUUUCUUGUUGAUUUUCUAGUUUUAUAAAAAAUUUCAGUUGCAGAUCACAGCUACAACACUUACUUUCAAUGCGGUUUACUUCUAUGUGUUUACUUCUAGUUACUAUUGCGG